RNAcentral lists this ribosomal RNA (253 nucleotides) under uncultured bacterium. Its description in RNAcentral is "partial 16S ribosomal RNA". It matches the Rfam family "Bacterial small subunit ribosomal RNA", at positions 524 to 776 of the family's 1533-position model. The record is from RNAcentral.
UACGUAGGGGGCAAGCGUUGUCCGGAUUUAUUGGGCGUAAAGAGCGUGUAGGCGGCCACACAGGUCUGCUGUGAAAACUCGAGGCUCAACCUCGAGCUGUCGGUGGAAACCGUAUGGCUAGAGUCCGGAAGAGGAGAGUGGAAUUCCCGGUGUAGCGGUGAAAUGCGCAGAUAUCGGGAAGAACACCCGUGGCGAAGGCGGCUCUCUGGGACGGUACUGACGCUGAGACGCGAAAGCGUGGGGAGCGAACAGG